GAAGGUACAGCUCAGUGGUAGAGUGUGUACUUAGCAUGCAUGAGGUCCUGGGAUCAAUCCCCAGUACCUUCU
This 72-nucleotide transfer RNA is filed under the name Camelus bactrianus (Bactrian camel). It matches the Rfam family "tRNA". Rfam says of the family: Transfer RNA (tRNA) molecules are approximately 80 nucleotides in length. Their secondary structure includes four short double-helical elements and three loops (D, anti-codon, and T loops). The record is from Rfam by way of RNAcentral. RNAcentral also lists the same sequence under 2 other names. Lineage: Eukaryota; Metazoa; Chordata; Mammalia; Artiodactyla; Camelidae.